UACGAAGGGGGCUAGCGUUGCUCGGAAUUACUGGGCGUAAAGGGAGCGUAGGCGGACAUUUAAGUCAGGGGUGAAAUCCCGGGGCUCAACCUCGGAACUGCCUUUGAUACUGGGUGUCUUGAGUGUGAUAGAGGUAUGUGGAACUCCGAGUGUAGAGGUGAAAUUCGUAGAUAUUCGGAAGAACACCAGUGGCGAAGGCGACAUACUGGAUCAUUACUGACGCUGAGGCUCGAAAGCGUGGGGAGCAAACAGG
RNAcentral lists this ribosomal RNA (253 nucleotides) under uncultured bacterium. RNAcentral's name for it is "partial 16S ribosomal RNA". It matches the Rfam family "Bacterial small subunit ribosomal RNA", at positions 524 to 776 of the family's 1533-position model. The record is from RNAcentral.